UAUAGUAGAGGCGCGAUAUUCAAAAGUAGUAUGACGGAUGUAUAUGGAUACAUAGGAUGGAGUGUGAAAGGGGAUAUCGCCGAAGGAGGCAAUGGUCCAUACAGUUGCAGCCUGGUUAUGCAGUUAAUAGCUGUAUGACUGUCAUCAUUAGAUGGAGAGCUACUUA
RNAcentral lists this non-coding RNA (166 nucleotides) under uncultured Coprococcus sp. Its description in RNAcentral is "Lysine riboswitch". It matches the Rfam family "Lysine riboswitch aptamer". From Rfam's summary of the family: Riboswitches are metabolite binding domains within certain messenger RNAs that serve as precision sensors for their corresponding targets. The record is from RNAcentral. Lineage: Bacteria; Bacillati; Bacillota; Clostridia; Lachnospirales; Lachnospiraceae.